GACGAACGCUGGCGGCGUGCCUAAUACAUGCAAGUCGAACGCAGUGGGGACGGGUGAGUAACACGUGGGUAACCUCCCAUCAGAGGGGAAAAAACUUGGAAACAGGUGCUAAACCGAUACUGAUGGAUGGUCCCGCGGUGCAUUAGCGAGUUGGUGAGGUAACGGGGCACCAAGGCCACGAUGCAUAGCCGACCUGAGAGGGUGACCGGCCACGCUGGGACUGAGACACGGCCCAGACUCCUACGGGAGGCAGCAGUGGGGAAUCUUCGGCAAGGGACGAAAGUCUGACCCAGCAACGCCGCGUGAGUGAAGAAGGUGUUCGGGUCGUAAAGCACUGUUGUUAGGGAAGCGGUAACUAACCAGGAAGCCACGGCUAACUACGUGCCAGCAGCCGCGGUAAUAC
RNAcentral lists this ribosomal RNA (403 nucleotides) under uncultured bacterium. Its description in RNAcentral is "partial 16S ribosomal RNA". It matches the Rfam family "Bacterial small subunit ribosomal RNA", at positions 28 to 526 of the family's 1533-position model. The record is from RNAcentral.